Molecule: ribosomal RNA, 1904 nt
Filed under: Escherichia coli
Lineage: Bacteria; Pseudomonadati; Pseudomonadota; Gammaproteobacteria; Enterobacterales; Enterobacteriaceae
Description: partial 23S ribosomal RNA
Rfam family: Bacterial large subunit ribosomal RNA
Source: RNAcentral
UGUGUGUUAGUGGAAGCGUCUGGAAAGGCGCGCGAUACAGGGUGACAGCCCCGUACACAAAAAUGCACAUGCUGUGAGCUCGAUGAGUAGGGCGGGACACGUGGUAUCCUGUCUGAAUAUGGGGGGACCAUCCUCCAAGGCUAAAUACUCCUGACUGACCGAUAGUGAACCAGUACCGUGAGGGAAAGGCGAAAAGAACCCCGGCGAGGGGAGUGAAAAAGAACCUGAAACCGUGUACGUACAAGCAGUGGGAGCACGCUUAGGCGUGUGACUGCGUACCUUUUGUAUAAUGGGUCAGCGACUUAUAUUCUGUAGCAAGGUUAACCGAAUAGGGGAGCCGAAGGGAAACCGAGUCUUAACUGGGCGUUAAGUUGCAGGGUAUAGACCCGAAACCCGGUGAUCUAGCCAUGGGCAGGUUGAAGGUUGGGUAACACUAACUGGAGGACCGAACCGACUAAUGUUGAAAAAUUAGCGGAUGACUUGUGGCUGGGGGUGAAAGGCCAAUCAAACCGGGAGAUAGCUGGUUCUCCCCGAAAGCUAUUUAGGUAGCGCCUCGUGAAUUCAUCUCCGGGGGUAGAGCACUGUUUCGGCAAGGGGGUCAUCCCGACUUACCAACCCGAUGCAAACUGCGAAUACCGGAGAAUGUUAUCACGGGAGACACACGGCGGGUGCUAACGUCCGUCGUGAAGAGGGAAACAACCCAGACCGCCAGCUAAGGUCCCAAAGUCAUGGUUAAGUGGGAAACGAUGUGGGAAGGCCCAGACAGCCAGGAUGUUGGCUUAGAAGCAGCCAUCAUUUAAAGAAAGCGUAAUAGCUCACUGGUCGAGUCGGCCUGCGCGGAAGAUGUAACGGGGCUAAACCAUGCACCGAAGCUGCGGCAGCGACGCUUAUGCGUUGUUGGGUAGGGGAGCGUUCUGUAAGCCUGUGAAGGUGUACUGUGAGGUAUGCUGGAGGUAUCAGAAGUGCGAAUGCUGACAUAAGUAACGAUAAAGCGGGUGAAAAGCCCGCUCGCCGGAAGACCAAGGGUUCCUGUCCAACGUUAAUCGGGGCAGGGUGAGUCGACCCCUAAGGCGAGGCCGAAAGGCGUAGUCGAUGGGAAACAGGUUAAUAUUCCUGUACUUGGUGUUACUGCGAAGGGGGGACGGAGAAGGCUAUGUUGGCCGGGCGACGGUUGUCCCGGUUUAAGCGUGUAGGCUGGUUUUCCAGGCAAAUCCGGAAAAUCAAGGCUGAGGCGUGAUGACGAGGCACUACGGUGCUGAAGCAACAAAUGCCCUGCUUCCAGGAAAAGCCUCUAAGCAUCAGGUAACAUCAAAUCGUACCCCAAACCGACACAGGUGGUCAGGUAGAGAAUACCAAGGCGCUUGAGAGAACUCGGGUGAAGGAACUAGGCAAAAUGGUGCCGUAACUUCGGGAGAAGGCACGCUGAUAUGUAGGUGAAGUCCCUCGCGGAUGGAGCUGAAAUCAGUCGAAGAUACCAGCUGGCUGCAACUGUUUAUUAAAAACACAGCACUGUGCAAACACGAAAGUGGACGUAUACGGUGUGACGCCUGCCCGGUGCCGGAAGGUUAAUUGAUGGGGUCAGCGCAAGCGAAGCUCUUGAUCGAAGCCCCGGUAAACGGCGGCCGUAACUAUAACGGUCCUAAGGUAGCGAAAUUCCUUGUCGGGUAAGUUCCGACCUGCACGAAUGGCGUAAUGAUGGCCAGGCUGUCUCCACCCGAGACUCAGUGAAAUUGAACUCGCUGUGAAGAUGCAGUGUACCCGCGGCAAGACGGAAAGACCCCGUGAACCUUUACUAUAGCUUGACACUGAACAUUGAGCCUUGAUGUGUAGGAUAGGUGGGAGGCUUUGAAGUGUGGACGCCAGUCUGCAUGGAGCCGACCUUGAAAUACCACCCUUUAAUGUUU